UACGGAGGGAGCUAGCGUUGUUCGGAAUCACUGGGCGUAAAGGGCGCGUAGGCGGCCGCUCAAGUCGGGGGUGAAAGCCUGUGGCUUAACCACAGAAUUGCCUUCGAUACUGUUUGGCUUGAGACCGGAAGAGGUGAGUGGAACUGCGAGUGUAGAGGUGAAAUUCGUAGAUAUUCGCAAGAACACCAGUGGCGAAGGCGGCUCACUGGUCCGGUUCUGACGCUGAGGCGCGAAAGCGUGGGGAGCAAACAGG
RNAcentral lists this ribosomal RNA (253 nucleotides) under uncultured bacterium. RNAcentral describes it as "partial 16S ribosomal RNA". It matches the Rfam family "Bacterial small subunit ribosomal RNA", at positions 524 to 776 of the family's 1533-position model. The record is from RNAcentral.